RNAcentral lists this ribosomal RNA (569 nucleotides) under uncultured fungus. Its description in RNAcentral is "SSU rRNA". It matches the Rfam family "Eukaryotic small subunit ribosomal RNA", at positions 185 to 761 of the family's 1831-position model. Lineage: Eukaryota; Fungi. The record is from RNAcentral.
GCCCUUGGAAGGGGUGUAUUUAUUAGAUUAAAAACCAAUGCCCUUCGGGGCUCACUGGUGAUUCAUGAUAACUCCUCGAAUCGCAUGGCCUUGUGCCGGCGAUGGUUCAUUCAAAUUUCUUCCCUAUCAACUUUCGAUGUUUGGGUAUUGGCCAAACAUGGUUGCAACGGGUAACGGAGGGUUAGGGCUCGACCCCGGAGGAGGAGCCUGAGAAACGGCUACUACAUCCAAGGAAGGCAGCAGGCGCGCAAAUUACCCAAUCCCGACACGGGGAGGUAGUGACAAUAACUACUGAUACAGGGCUCUUUUGGGUCUUGUAAUUGGAAUGAGUACAAUUUAAAUCCCUUAACGAGGAACAAUUGGAGGGCAAGUCUGGUGCCAGCAGCCGCGGUAAUUCCAGCUCCAAUAGCGUAUAUUAAAGUUGUUGUGGUUAAAAAGCUCGUAGUUGAACCUUGGGCCUGGCUGGCCGGUCCGCCUCACCGCGUGUACUGGUCCGGCCGGGCCUUUCCCUCUGUGGAACCCCAUGCCCUUCACUGGGUGUGGCGGGGAACCAGGACUUUUACAAGGGC